GUUAUGUUUACAAAUGUGUAUUUCAUGUCUCAGAACCGAACACACGCAUCGCAAAUAUGAUAUCUUUCAAUCUAAAGAAGACUGUAAUACAACGAGCAGUGUAUUUAGUCAAGUAUUCAAUCGCGAUAACGCGAUAUCUGUUGACACGAUUACACACAAUGGGUCAUGAAAUAUACGAUCCGCUAGUAAGUGUAUAAGUCAAUUAUAAUCACGUGAAAAACAGAAUAAGCUGGCGUUUGUUUUGUUAAAAGAUUACACAAAACAACUAAAACACAGAAUUCGCAAAGCAAUCCAUUGGUGGCUGGGCAUCACUGACGAAGAAACGGAAGGCAUUUGGAAAUGGUUUGACGACGACAGUGUCGCUACGUACACAGACUUUCAGCCGGAUGACCACGAAACUCUCGACAAGGAUUGUUUGAUAUUUACGUCCGUUAAUGAUUUCCAUUAGGCUGACGUACACUGUUCAUAUAAGUGUCCACCAAUAUGUGAAAUAAGGUACUCAUUUUGAUAUGCAUAUUGUCACCAGCUAUUCAUUAUAUCGUCUAGAUAUAUUCCCAUUUUGCAAAACAGACACACGUUUGAUUAAAACGUUCAAUGAGAGUAUUUAUAUUCAAAUUGUAUUUCAAACUAUAUACUUUUCUAUAAAUGUCCACAAUCUGAUUUUUGCCCUUCUUUAAGAUGUAUCGAAAAUAUCUUUGUUAAUUGAAAUGAAAAAUUUAUUUUAAAACUGUCAUUGGUUGCCUUCGUUUCAUUACACAAACCAUGCUAAUAUAAAGUGUUUAUUAUGAAGGUCAAUACAUUUGCUAACAACAAUGAUAGAUCAAUCGGUUGAAUUAUAUACAAUAUAUACAUUUUGUAGUAGCUAUAAAAUAGACGAUUUCGGAGACUUGUUUUUCUUUCACUCGCAUACAGGUUAGUAUGGACAUUUUAGUUGAAUGCAUAUCAGCCUUAAAGCGAGAUUAUACGAUUUUGUCAAAUAUUUUUGAAUUUAUAUAACAUGUGUAAAAAACUAAUUUUAUAUAUUUCAAUAUAAAUGAAAAUAAAAGUUGAUAGAACAUGUGGCGAAAAAUGCGAAAUGAACCGGAUAUUUAAUUAUGAAAUCGAAAAUGUCUAUACAGUCGAAUUCUUUGUUAAUUGAAAUGAAAAAUUUAUUUUAAAACUGUCAUUGGUUGCCUUCGUUUCAUUACACAAACCAUGCUAAUAUAAAGUGUUUAUUAUGAAGGUCAAUACAUUUGCUAACAACAAUGAUAGAUCAAUCGGUUGAAUUAUAUACAAUAUAUACAUUUUGUAGUAGCUAUAAAAUAGACGAUUUCGGAGACUUGUUUUUCUUUCACUCGCAUACAGGUUAGUAUGGACAUUUUAGUUGAAUGCAUAUCAGCCUUAAAGCGAGAUUAUACGAUUUUGUCAAAUAUUUUUGAAUUUAUAUAACAUGUGUAAAAAACUAAUUUUAUAUAUUUCAAUAUAAAUGAAAAUAAAAGUUGAUAGAACAUGUGGCGAAAAAUGCGAAAUGAGCCGGAUAUUUAAUUAUGAAAUCGAAAAUGUCUAUACAGUCGAAUUCGCCAGCAUGUAUAUCAUGAAUGUACGAUGUGAAUCUAAAUUAAGUUUUAGUGCAGAUUCGUUCAUACAACACAAAGACACAAAUUUGUUUUACGGAUUAUGUUAAUUUCCUGCAACGAUAUCAUACGGCACACGAAAACCAACUCCGAUCCUAAUAAAAAAGACGAAUGCUUCGGUUAUUGUAGGAAAAUAUGUACGAAAUAUACUCUUCACAAUCGGCUAGGGGCGCUUAUUUGUCUUUGCUGCAUUUUAUGAAUUUCGUCUUCAAUGUAUAUUUUUUCUUGCCAAUUUUGUGUUAUUGUAACAUAUUUUUAUCACUUUAUUACAAUUUAACACAUAUAAAUAUCGUAUAAUAUCUCUUUAAUACUAAUGUAGUUGUUGUCUUUGGAAAAAGACGGUGUCGGAGUUGGGACGAACUUAUUAAAACGAUUAAUAUAUUAGUUUUGUGAAUUAAUAUUCUACUUACAUGUCAAAACUUUCUGUGACUUUUUUUAACAUAAAACAUAUAUCUUACGUUUCAGAUCGGAACACAUCGAGCCAGGAGUUGUUGGCUAACACACAAACAGCUACCUAAAAUAUUGGUAGAUGUUGGAUUUCGAGCGUGUCCCAUAUAUUAGUGUGUUCGUUAAUUUUCAUUUACUUAAAACAUUUGGACGCAUUCAAUUAUUGAAAUUAAACGAUACAUAAUAUAGAG
Dreissena polymorpha is the source of this 2251-nucleotide long non-coding RNA. RefSeq lists it as uncharacterized. Lineage: Eukaryota; Metazoa; Mollusca; Bivalvia; Myida; Dreissenidae. The transcript is spliced from 3 exons. The record is from RefSeq and is a predicted model, not a curated record.